RNAcentral lists this ribosomal RNA (468 nucleotides) under uncultured bacterium. RNAcentral's name for it is "partial 16S ribosomal RNA". It matches the Rfam family "Bacterial small subunit ribosomal RNA", at positions 28 to 507 of the family's 1533-position model. The record is from RNAcentral.
GACGAACGCUGGCGGCGUGCUUAACACAUGCAAGUCGAACGGAAAGGCCCUGCUUUUGUGGGGUGCUCGAGUGGCGAACGGGUGAGUAACACGUGAGUAACCUGCCCUUGACUUUGGGAUAACUUCAGGAAACUGGGGCUAAUACCGGAUAGGAGCUCCUGCUGCAUGGUGGGGGUUGGAAAGUUUCGGCGGUUGGGGAUGGACUCGCGGCUUAUCAGCUUGUUGGUGGGGUAGUGGCUUACCAAGGCUUUGACGGGUAGCCGGCCUGAGAGGGUGACCGGCCACACUGGGACUGAGAUGAGGCCCAGACUCGUAUGGGAGGCAGCAGUGGGGAAGAUUGCACAAUGGGCGGAAGGCUGAUGCAGCAACGCCGCGUGGGGGAUGACGGGCUUCGGGUUGGAAACCGCUUUCGCCUGUGACGAAGCGUGAGUGACGGUAAUGGGUAAAGAAGCACCGGCUAACUACGUG